AAGAGGGAAACAACCCAGACCGCCAGCUAAGGUCCCAAAGUCAUGGUUAAGUGGGAAACGAUGUGGGAAGGCCCAGACAGCCAGGAUGUUGGCUUAGAAGCAGCCAUCAUUUAAAGAAAGCGUAAUAGCUCACUGGUCGAGUCGGCCUGCGCGGAAGAUGUAACGGGGCUAAACCAUGCACCGC
Molecule: ribosomal RNA, 184 nt
Filed under: Cronobacter malonaticus 507
Lineage: Bacteria; Pseudomonadati; Pseudomonadota; Gammaproteobacteria; Enterobacterales; Enterobacteriaceae
Description: Large Subunit Ribosomal RNA; lsuRNA; LSU rRNA
Rfam family: Bacterial large subunit ribosomal RNA
Source: RNAcentral